RNAcentral lists this unclassified non-coding RNA (200 nucleotides) under soil metagenome. Its description in RNAcentral is "partial contains internal transcribed spacer 2 and large subunit ribosomal RNA". The record is from RNAcentral.
GUCAUUUAAACCUUCAAGCUCUGCUUGGUGUUGGGUGUUUGUUCCGCCCCCGUGCGUGGACUCGCCUUAAAUUCAUUGGCAGCCGGUAUGUUGUUGGCUUCGUGCGCAGCACAUUGCAAACGAUCCCAGCGUACCCCCUCCCAUUAAGCUCCCCUUUUUACUUUGACCUCGGAUCAGGUAGGGAUACCCGCUGAACUUAA